GGGGAGUACGGCCGCAAGGUUGAAACUCAAAGGAAUUGACGGGGGCCCGCACAAGCGGUGGAGCAUGUGGUUUAAUUUGAAGCAACGGGAAGAACCUUACCAGGUUUUGACAUCCUUUGACAACCCUAGAGAUAGGGGUUUUCCUUUGGGAGCAGAAUGACAGGUGGUGCAUGGUUGUUGUCAGCUUGUGUUGUGAGAUGUUGGGUUAAGUCCCGCAACGAGCGCAACCCUUGAUUUUAGUUGCCAUCAAUUAAUUGGGCAAUUUAAAGGGGACUCCCGGGGAAAAACGGGGGAAGGGGGGGGAGAAGUCAAAUUCUUCAUCCCCUUAUGACCUGGGGUUACACACGGGUUCCAAGGGCGGUUACAAAGAGUGCAAACCCCGGAGGGGGAAGUAAUCUUCAUAAACCGUUUUCAAGUCCGGAUGGGGGUUUGCAAUUGGCCUCCAGGAAGU
This 451-nucleotide ribosomal RNA is filed under the name Bacillus cereus. RNAcentral's name for it is "bacterial SSU rRNA". It matches the Rfam family "Bacterial small subunit ribosomal RNA", at positions 875 to 1326 of the family's 1533-position model. Lineage: Bacteria; Bacillati; Bacillota; Bacilli; Caryophanales; Bacillaceae. The record is from RNAcentral.